Lagenorhynchus albirostris (white-beaked dolphin) is the source of this 3935-nucleotide RNA transcript. It is a transcript of the gene named spermatid perinuclear RNA binding protein, with no coding region annotated. The record is from RefSeq and is a predicted model, not a curated record. The transcript has 18 exons. NCBI's taxonomy places the organism in Eukaryota, Metazoa, Chordata, Mammalia, Artiodactyla, Delphinidae.
GGAGACCGGAGCCGCGAGCGCCACCAGGGCAGCAACCGCCGCAGCCGCCGCCGCUGGGCUGAGGAGUCGGAGACGCAGGCGGACGAGGUGGCGGCGGCGGCGGAGCGGGAGCGGGGACCGGGAGCGGGCAGAGCGCGGCGGCGCGGGUGUAUUCUAGAGAACAAGUCUUCAAACACCUUUGCCGUAUUGACUCUGAGCUGUCAGGGGACUCAGGCUUAUGAGGAGGUACUGUCACAGAAAACAGUGUCUAGUGAAGACGACAAGAAAGAGGGAAAAGGAUCGGAAGAAGAAGCUAAAAUACUGUAGAAAACCAUGAGAUCUAUUAGAUCUUUUGCCAAUGAUGAUCGCCAUGUUAUGGUGAAACAUUCAACAAUUUAUCCGUCUCCGGAGGAACUUGAAGCUGUUCAGAAUAUGGUGUCUACUGUUGAGUGUGCUCUUAAACAUGUCUCGGAUUGGCUGGAUGAAACAAAUAAAGGCACAAAAGCAGAGGGUGAGACAGAAGUGAAGAAGGAUGAGGCUGUAGACUCCUAUUCCAAGGAUCAAGGUGGUCGGACAUUAUGUGGUGUAAUGAGGAUUGGCCUGGUUGCAAAAGGCUUGCUGAUUAAAGAUGAUAUGGACUUGGAGCUGGUUUUAAUGUGCAAAGACAAACCCACAGAGACCCUGUUAAAUACAGUCAAAGAUAAUCUUCCUAUUCAGAUUCAGAAACUCACAGAAGAGAAAUAUCAAGUGGAACAAUGUGUAGAUGAGGCAUCUAUUAUAAUUCGGAAUACAAAAGAACCCACGCUAACUUUGAAGGUGAUACUUACUUCCCCUCUAAUUAGGGACGAAUUGGAGAAGAAGGACGGAGAAAAGGUUGCGAUGAAAGAUCCUCCGGACUUAUUGGACAGGCAGAAAUGCCUGAACGCCUUGGCGUCUCUUCGACAUGCCAAAUGGUUUCAGGCAAGGGCAAAUGGAUUAAAAUCAUGCGUAAUUGUCCUCCGAAUUCUGCGUGAUUUGUGCAACAGAGUCCCCACAUGGGCACCAUUAAAAGGAUGGCCACUAGAGCUUAUAUGUGAAAAGUCUAUAGGUACUUGUAAUAGACCUUUGGGCGCUGGGGAGGCCUUGAGACGAGUAAUGGAGUGUUUGGCAUCUGGAAUUCUACUUCCUGGGGGUCCUGGUCUUCAUGAUCCUUGCGAGAGGGACCCAACAGAUGCUCUGAGCUAUAUGACCAUCCAACAAAAAGAAGAUAUUACCCACAGUGCACAGCAUGCACUCAGACUAUCAGCCUUUGGCCAGAUUUAUAAAGUGCUGGAAAUGGACCCCCUUCCAUCUAGUAAGCCUUUUCAGAAAUAUUCCUGGUCAGUUACUGAUAAAGAAGGUGCUGGGUCUUCAGCUCUGAAGAGGCCAUUUGAAGAUGGAUUAGGGGAUGAUAAAGAUCCCAAUAAGAAGAUGAAACGAAACUUAAGGAAAAUUCUGGAUAGCAAAGCAAUAGACCUUAUGAAUGCACUAAUGAGGCUAAAUCAGAUCAGGCCUGGGCUUCAAUAUAAGCUCUUAUCUCAGUCUGGCCCUGUCCAUGCCCCAGUCUUCACAAUGUCUGUAGAUGUGGAUGGUACAACAUAUGAAGCCUCAGGACCAUCCAAGAAAACAGCAAAACUUCACGUAGCAGUGAAGGUACUGCAGGCAAUGGGAUACCCAACGGGCUUUGAUGCAGAUAUUGAAUGUAUGAGUUCCGAUGAAAAGUCAGAUAAUGAAGGCAAAAAUGAAACAGUGUCUUCAAACUCAAGCAAUAAUACUGGAAAUUCUACAACUGAAACCUCCAGUACCUUAGAGGUAAGAACUCAGGGCCCUAUCCUCACAGCAAGUGGCAAAAAUCCUGUAAUGGAGCUCAAUGAAAAAAGAAGAGGUCUUAAGUAUGAACUCAUCUCGGAGACUGGUGGAAGCCAUGACAAACGCUUUGUAAUGGAGGUAGAAGUAGAUGGACAGAAAUUCAGAGGUGCAGGUCCAAAUAAGAAAGUGGCAAAGGCAAGUGCAGCUUUAGCUGCCCUGGAGAAGCUGUUUUCUGGACCCAAUGCAGCAAAUAAUAAGAAAAAGAAGAUUAUCCCUCAGGCAAAGGGUGUUGUGAAUACAGCCGUGUCCGCAGCAGUCCAAGCUGUUCGGGGCAGAGGAAGAGGAACUCUGACAAGGGGAGCUUUUGUUGGGGCCACAGCCGCUCCUGGCUACAUAGCUCCAGGCACCAGAUGCUAAUGGCAAUUUUAACAACAUUUACUGAGAGACCCUGUGCUGGGGCCCAAAAUUCGGAUUUCAACAAGACAUGGACCUUGCCCUCGAGCCCACAGCCUGAUCUGUGCGCCCUCUUCAGUGGCAGUUGAGGCUUUAGCCUGCUCUGUCACUGCUUUCUGAAAAAAAGACUUGGAAAUUCCUAUUUUCCAACUGUGAGAAAUUGGUAACUUGAGUGGUUCUAAGUAUUCUUUUGUUGAACAAAUUAAAUGUGUGAGUGGUUACUAUAUGCCAGACAUUCUGCUAGGUUCAAGUGUUGCAAAGAUGUAUAAGACUUGAGUCUCUGCCAUUCUAGGGGGGAACACAGACAAAGGGUUGAUAAUUAUAAUACAAUGUGGUAAGUGUAGUGAGAAAGAAACAGGAUAUUCUGGUAGGUCAGGAGAGCUUGGUAGGCCGUAGUAAAAAGCUUCCACUCUGCAUAGGCAUGGAGGAAUCUCGGUGGACUCGGGCCAUUCUGGGAAGGGUUCUGGUUGAGCCAGCACCUGGAAGGAGCCCUUGGGGCCCAAGGCGCCGGGCCGGGUGGUCCUUGUGAAUCGGGCUGGCGCUGACUCUGCCCUUUUUCCUGGACUGAUGUGCUUUCUCCUUCUUUGCACCAGGCUAUGGAACACCAUAUGGUUACAGCACAGCUGCCCCUGCCUAUGGUUAAUACUUUUAAGCAGUUUUCAGCACGUUUAUCUCACUUUAUUCUCGUUCUCCUUGGACCUUCGUAGCCAUAUCACUUGUAUAAAAUAGGCUGAGAUAUAGUGACUGUAAGCUGUGGUCUCAGUAUACAAAGGUAAGCGCUUUUAUUUUCUGAUUAAAGAGAAAAUUAAAAAUCGAUGAACACAACAUGCAUAUAUGACAAUCAUAUAUGAUGUAUUUGAUCUCUUAGGUCUUAUCUCAUCACAUUACUUUAACAUUUUUAAUGAUCUAAAUGUGAAAUAGUUAUUUUCAGCAUUUUGUUUUUAAUACCCUUAUAAUUACUUUCUCUUUGAGAGACAUUUCACUUUUGAGUUAAGUGUGUGUAUGUGUAUAGAAACUUAUAACGUAUAUGCGAAUUACACACACUUACCUGUUUAAAUAAAAGAAUUUGGUGGUGGGAAGUGUUCACCUAAGAAGAUUUUUACGUCAGGGCAAAAAGUGCUGGAAUUUCAUAAGCAGCAAGAUUGGUAACAGUGCUGGUAGGACCCAUUUAUAUGUAGCUGUUACAUAAGCUGAGGAUCCAAGUGCCAAUUUCUCAAGGAGAGAGACUUCUCUGAGAAAUGAGUAUCUCUGAUCUGUGUUGUAUGCCCUAAUACAACAGCAGCAAGAAGCCAUAAAAAAAAAAAGCAAUAGCAAAUGAAAAAACCAAACUAUUAAGGUAACUAUGGAAAAAUAUAAAAUUGACUAAGCUAAGUAUUUGCAGAAUCAAUUAUGGCAAGACUCAGAAUGGUAAAUACCUGGUGUGCAGAGACCAAAUAGAUGUAAGGCAAUUCAUCUUUCUUUUCCAGAUUAGAUAGAUGAUUUAUUUCCCACCUGAUUCAACCGUCAUGGAGUUCAUUUAAAAGAUGUGAGGGUUAGGCCAAAUAUUUUUAAAAGGAUUUGCUUCUUCGUUACGUGUAUUCAUUCCAUAAAUGCAUUUCAUAUGUGUUAGAUGUUCUGUGCUAAGGUUGUACUUGAUAUAUAUAUAUAUAUAUAUAUAGAUAGAUAGAUUGAUUAAA